Haemorhous mexicanus (house finch) is the source of this 3152-nucleotide long non-coding RNA. RefSeq lists it as uncharacterized. Lineage: Eukaryota; Metazoa; Chordata; Aves; Passeriformes; Fringillidae. The record is from RefSeq and is a predicted model, not a curated record. The transcript is spliced from 2 exons.
AGGAAGCGGGGUGAGGGGAGAGAUCUGCGCCGAGACUGGGUCCUCCAAGGGGAGGGCAUAGGCGGGGGUCUGCUGCCGGAACCGCAAAAGUAGGGGGUCUUCCAGUGGAAACCAAACCGGAGCGUGGAUGACACGCACAUGGUUUAUGGCGGCUGGGUCAGCAGCUCCCAGCGCAGCCGGCGUAGACAAAGCAGGAAGCUCAGCUGGCACAGAUCCUGCCUUUGGACUUUGCUGUUCACAACAUCCAGCCAGGAGAUUGGGUCCUAGUUAAGGAGCGGAAAGAAGCACCUCUGGUGGCUAAGUGGCAUGAACCUUUCCAAGUGUUACUGACCACAGAAACAGCCGUCAAGACAGCUGAACACGGGUCGACCCAUCACACUCGGGUCAAGGUCUCGGAGGCCCUGGAGAUUUAGACAGCUCGGCUGGAGGAGAAGGAUGGGAAGCCGUGACUGACACUCCGCAGGAGUGGACUGGAGCAGUAGCCAGUGCGUUGACCUUGGGAGAAGCCCUGUGUGCCUACCCACAGACUGCCUGUUGAAGCAGCUUGUGUGGGCAUCCCUCCUCUCAGAUCUCUAGUCAUUGGGGGCUAAUCCUCACUGUCAUUGUUUUCUUUAUGUUAAGCUGUUUCUGUGCCUUCUCUUGCCACAGGUGGUGCAGAAGACAACGUGAAACUGAAAAUUAGGUUAGGAGAUUAGAUUGCACUGUUAGAAUGUUUCUCUUAAUGAUCUUACCCUUAUAUUGUCGGUUAGGUUGUGGCCAAAGGUGUGAAAAUAAUUUUUUUAACCUUGGGAGAAGCGGCAAAACCCUUUAACCUUAGUAGUUGUUGGGUCUGCGGAGAGCCAGGGGGAUCUGAAAGCUGGCCAUGGGUGGCCAUCCCAGCCGAGCCUAAAUGGUGGGUUAGCACCCUGAGUGAGGUCCAUAAGGAAACAGGAUUUUGGGAUUAGGAAGGAAGUCCAUAGCAGCUUCAUUCUUCUGAAAGAAGUAUUUAUUGCCUAAAUAGAACAGGAAACAUAUAUGUGGGAAAAAGCAUUUGUGACUGGACUUUAUCUUUGGGUUUAAAUUGUGGGACCCCCAACUGCUCUGGUUAUGAUUGUUCCAGAUAUCAAGGCAGAUGGAAUCAAACGCAUGUUAAGCUCCCUCAUGGCAGCUGGGUAAGGUGUUCCUUCCAUAAUUACUGAAAGGAUUUUGAAGGCUAUAAAGCAGUGGUGAAGGAUAAGUUCUUUUGAUCCUGUAUUUUUAAGUUGCUUCUGAGAUAGUUCCACAAGUAGGACACAUGUUGUCCAUGAUUAUCGGUGGAAGUGGCAACACUGGAACGGAACUCACACCCUUUUUAAUAGGUUCUGAUACGGAUCUAAUAAGACAGGCCUGGGGUGUACCUGCAGGUGGAAACCUCAGGUGGAAGCUUGGAAAUGCAUAUACUGUGAUUCUUAUGGCGGGGUAGCUAUUGUUGGGGGACCACUAGGCCCAGGAAGCAAGCUGUAUUUUGACCCACCCAUUGAUGAUGAAAAUUGGAAAGGUCCCUUUGCCAACGGGACCUGGGCUUUUAAAGGGCAUUACCGGAUUUGUGGCCGAUAUACUUACCCCAGGUUACCCCCAAACUGGUCAGGGAUUUGUUAUGCAGGGUAUAUUAGACCAUUGUUCUUUCUGCUACCACAAGUUCAAGGAAAUCAGUUAGGAAUCAAGGUAUAUGAUGAUCUAAUUAGAGAAAAGCGGUCAAUUGAUCUGUCUUUGGUUGGGGGGAGCACCCAAAAGUGGGGUGAAGAUGAAUGGCCACCUGAACGAAUGAUACAACACUAUGGACCAGCCACAUGGAAUCCUAAUGAAUUAAUAUCAGGUGCCAGAGAACCCAUUUAUAAUUUAAAUCGGAUAAUUAGGUUACAAGCUGUCUUUGAAGUAAUAAUGAACCAGACAUGUGCAGCUCUUCCUACCUCCUUGCUGACCAAUCUACUCAGAUGAGAAAUGCAAGAUUACAACAUUGGAUGGUAUUAGACUAUUUAUUAGCAGAAGAAGGCGGAGUGUGUGGCAAAUUAAAUGACUCAAACUGCUGUUUGCAAAUAGAUGACAAUGGAAUGGUAGUAAAACAAAUAACAAAAGGAAUAAGAGAGUUAGCUCAUGUACUGGUCCAAACAUGGAAAGGAUGGGAAUGGGACAUGUUUUUGUGGUAACCUGGUGGACUAUGGGUUAAACAGAUGCCAUUUUUUUCCCCUCUUUUGUGCUGUAACUACUCUAAUCUUUUUACCAUCCAUGAUCCCUUGCUUAGUACAACUUAUUCAACAUGUGAUCAAAGGGAUGCAGGUAAUAGCCAUGCCUACUGAUCCAGAGAUGGCUACAAAAGGACAGAAACUGAUGUCUCUGCAAGUAAUUGCAAAACCAAAAGAGACCCAGGAACAGGAAAUUAGGUCAAUGAUAACUAAAGUUUGUAAAGACAAUUAUUAAAAAUAAAAGAGGAGGGAUUGAGAGGCAUAGCAGAUUUGUCUUUACAAACAAGCUGUGGUCUGCUGGUAGAUAAAACUAGCACUGGGCGUGUAAUAUGUGAUGUAGGGUAAUUCAUGCUUAUGUGAAAAAUGUAUAAAAUAAAAAUUGUAAAAUAAAUUAUACCUGUAACAAAAAUCCAAAGACUCUAGGACCACCGACCGUCCAGAGACAGAUCACAACAUAGAAGUUGUGAAACUCCUGGUGGCAGCAGGGAAGAAUGCCUUGUUAGCAAGCAAAAGGACGUGGCCAGUACGGAGGUGGGCUUCUUCCGGAACCAUCCGGGAACACCCAAGAGCGAUCAACAAUUGAUAAGUAUCCUCAAUCAAGAUAACUGAAGUCAUCAAGAACAUACAUCUAAACACCUGACUUCCCAUGACAUGAUUAACACCCACCACCUCCCAAGAAACAGCAUUGUCCAGCCCUGUACAGUGAAAAGAAACUUCAUGUAUAUGUGGGUGACAAAAGGAAUGGGGGUACCUCUGCCUCAAGCAGAAAAAACUGCAUAAAACCAGCCCCACUGGAGAUGGCAUUUGUGAACAGAGGGGGCUCCAAUGGGAUAGAGGUCAGAUCUAGGUUCACCCAGCGCCAAUCCCAGGCUCAACGCUGUCUCUUUGACUGUGGCUAUCGAGGACCGUAUUUUCAGUUGUGGAAAUAAAAUCUUUCGCUAUCAUUAUUAA